UUUCUAUGGAGAGUUUGAUCCUGGCUCAGGACGAACGCUGGCGGCGUGCCUAAUACAUGCAAGUCGAGCGGACGAUUCGAAAGCUUGCUUUUGAAUCGUUAGCGGCGGACGGGUGAGUAACACGUGGGCAACCUGCCCUGUAGACGGGGAUAACACCGAGAAAUCGGUGCUAAUACCGGAUAACACGAAAUGUCGCAUGACGUUUCGUUGAAAGGCGGCGCAAGCUGCCGCUACAGGAUGGGCCCGCGGCGCAUUAGCUAGUUGGUGAGGUAACGGCUCACCAAGGCGACGAUGCGUAGCCGACCUGAGAGGGU
RNAcentral lists this ribosomal RNA (314 nucleotides) under Anoxybacillus pushchinoensis. RNAcentral describes it as "bacterial SSU rRNA". It matches the Rfam family "Bacterial small subunit ribosomal RNA", at positions 1 to 301 of the family's 1533-position model. Lineage: Bacteria; Bacillati; Bacillota; Bacilli; Caryophanales; Anoxybacillaceae. The record is from RNAcentral.